RNAcentral lists this ribosomal RNA (270 nucleotides) under uncultured bacterium. Its description in RNAcentral is "partial 16S ribosomal RNA". It matches the Rfam family "Bacterial small subunit ribosomal RNA", at positions 1231 to 1500 of the family's 1533-position model. The record is from RNAcentral.
UGGCGUAAACAGAGGGAAGCGAACCCGCAGGGGGAGCGAAUCCCAAAAAUAAACGUCCCAGUUCGGAUUGUAGUCUGCAACCCGACUACAUGAAGCUGGAAUCGCUAGUAAUCGCGAAUCAGAAUGUCGCGGUGAAUACGUUCCCGGGUCUUGUACACACCGCCCGUCACACCAUGGGAGUCGGAUAUGCCCGAAGCCGGUGACCUAACCGCAAGGAAGGAGCCGUCGAAGGUGGAGCCGAUGACUGGGGUGAAGUCGUAACAAGGUAAC